RNAcentral lists this unclassified non-coding RNA (805 nucleotides) under Hevea brasiliensis (rubber tree). The record is from RNAcentral. Lineage: Eukaryota; Viridiplantae; Streptophyta; Magnoliopsida; Malpighiales; Euphorbiaceae.
GUUGCAGUAAAUGCCUAGUACUAUCAUUUAUUCAUAUUUGCAACAUAGAUGAUUCUAUGCACACCAUUUGACCACAUUUUAGGCUGAAAUUUUUGAGUAACAUACAGUAGGUUAAAGGCUAGAGGAGUUCCAGCUAGCAUCUACAGCCCCGAUGAUCGUUUCGUGCAGUUUGGCUCCAGCGCAAGCAAUUAUACCGCGAUCAAGUCCUUCUAAGUAUUCGCCUUUUGAGAAGUCUAGUGGUUGCCCUCCUGCAUCGGUCACCACUCCACCGGCUUCUUCAAUGAUAAGAACACCAGCUGCAUGAUCCCAUAUUUUCUCCUUGUAACCAGCCCUAGCGAACUUCAUGUAUAUCUCAGCAUCUCCUCGAGCUAUGGCUGCAUACUUUACCAUGCUGUAUACACGUAACGGCUGGUUCCGAAGUCCAACACUAUGAGCCAGUCCUGCUGUGAAUGAAUGGCUUGAAUUUGCCUUCUCAACUGGUUCACAAAAGGUAGCUAGUGCUGGGUUAUCGAUGGAGGAUACUCUAAUUUCCCUUGCAGCGUUUGGCCACACAAACUUACUUUCUCCGCGCAGUAACGGUUGCAUCCAGGCCCUGCCGCCACCUUUCCUUGCAUAAAGUACAGAACCUCUAUCCGAAGAUUCAGAUGUAGAGGAGCUCAACCUAGAUAAGAUUCUCCUAUAACCAUUUUGAUAACUAAGCCAUUCCUUCUUCAUAGGAUAAUUUGGACAUCCGAGAACCCCAAGCACAGGUUCUCCGUCUUCUAUCAAUGCCAAAGCAAUGGCAUAUUGAUCUCCACGCACGAAA